Molecule: long non-coding RNA, 2518 nt
Organism: Mirounga angustirostris (Northern elephant seal)
Lineage: Eukaryota; Metazoa; Chordata; Mammalia; Carnivora; Phocidae
Exons: 2
Source: RefSeq, a predicted model, not a curated record
GCCAGACCCUCCACAGCAUGGACAGACAACAGCGUGCUUUAACAGCUAGAAUUUGUUAUAUUAGAAAACUGAAAAAAAAAAUCAAUUUGUAAGCAAUGAACUUGCAAAGAUGUACCUGUGUUUUGCCACAUAAUAACUACCCAAAUAUAACAGCAUCUCAUACCAACUCUUUGUUUACUAAACCUACGUUGUCAUGACAGCCUGGCCAGAGCCGAGUCCUGGCCGGGUCCCCAUCUGCUGACACGGACAGGGCACUGGGGCGAUGCUGCGUGACUCCCCGAUCUCACCCCCAUAGCUUAACACUGUUAGGAAUAAAAACGGCAAGCUCAUGUAUCUGCCAACUACAGAGCUCGGAUUCCCUGGAAAUGAGCCAGAAAUGUCUUCUUGUUUUAAAAAUGAGAACCUUUAAAAACAAGCCACCCAAAAAAGAUAGUGGAUUUUUAACAACUAGCAAGAAGCUGCCAAUUCCUACGUCAAAGGUAAGAGCCGUGAAGAAGGUUCCCAGUGUACAUACCCAGCCUCCGUUUUGCCUUAUCCACUCUCUCAUGUUUGUCGUGAUGAACUCUGCCACAAAGUAAGAAAUCCGAGAAGCAUCGGCAUCCGGGGAAAUUCGCUCCUGGAGGAGCUUCUUGGUGAGAAUGCCUUCAAACGCAAAUAUGGUCACAAUCCUUCCCCAGUUAAUGACGCCGUCUUCAAACUCCUUCUCCAUGACCUGGUUGAAUAUGGUUCUGGCCGUGUCGACGGACACCACAUCAAAACUGUCCAGGCACGGUUUCAGGUUCUUCUCGACCUCCCCCUGCACGGAGGAGGCCACGUCCCGAAGCAGCCGGGACGCCCUGCUGGGGGCCGAGCCAGGCUGCGGGACCCGCAGGACAUGCCUCACGUAGUCCUGGGCCAGCGUCAGGGUGUACCCGAACUCGCAGUCCGUCAUCUUCCUCCCGGCCCGCCGGCCAGCCGAGGCCAAAUGAGGCGAGCGCCGGCGGGACCGGGGCCGUGACUCCUGGCGACGCGUGGAGGCCGGUGGAAUUUCUGUGUGCAUCACCAGCCGGUCCCUCCUCCUCGUCACUCUCGGGCGUGGGCUGGGUGUGAAAGAGAAAGUUGAAAACGUGGAAGCGGAAAGCAGUUCAGGAGAGGCCACUUCCUCAAACUGUCAGUGAUUAACUCGGGGACUUACGGGCUGAAGGCAGGACGUAGAGAAACCAGAAGCGCUCUCCCCCGCGGGGGGCGGCCCGUGUGCGAAUCCGGCCGGUCCUCCAACAGCUCCGUGCAGACUGCUGUCCGAGCCCGCGCUGCCACACUCGCAGCCGAGCGCUAUGCGCGGUGGUCAGACGGCAGAAACGACCCGCACGGUGGGCCGCAGAGACGCGGCGGCCGCGGUCAGGGGCGCGGCCCCACGCCGCGGGGACACGCAGUGCGAGCUGUGCGUGUCAGCCCUGAGCCGGCCGGCAGACCGCGGGCGGCGGAGGGGCGCAGGCCUUGCUCUUACGGGUUGGACAGAGGCGGGGGUCGCACGCCGCUGUCCCUGUACCAGACUCCGCGGAAUCGCUCGCGUUGACAUGGGUGGUUUUACGAAUGUCACCUGCACAAAAGGGUCAAGGCAGCCGCCCAGCUGAGCCAGGCUGGUGAUGGUCCAGGACGGAGCUCAGCCAGCCGCAGGGGAGCAGCCGGGGGACAGCGCUCAGGGACACCGCCCUGGACACUGCGGCCCUGAGCCGGGGGGCGGGGGUGGGCGGUGGGGGCGCCUGUGUACCCCGGAGCUUCUGACCCACAGAAAACAAGCCCUUCCUCCUCGCUCUCAAGUCAUGUCGGAAACAGAAGCGCCCCCUCGUCCCUCGAUCACCACGUGCCCGGUGUCUGUGAUGGGACCACACGGACAGCCUCCCGGGCUGAGUGAGGUGAGCCCCGAGCCCUGGCUCCUCACCAUCCUAGGCUAUGGCUCUUUCUGCAGCCUUCCCUCCGCCCCCACUGGGGUCCCCGGCGCUCCCAGACUCUCCCCCCUGCCUUCCCCUGCUCCCAGCGAGUCUCUGGAACACCCGACCCCCUGAGGCCGGAGUCCUGAAUUGGCAGGGGACCCGCACGGAACAAAGGGGCACAUUGCACACAUGCGCUGGGUCCCCUGCUCCACCAGGCCCCAGGGACAGUCCUCCCGUGUCCGUUCUGCGACGUCUGCUAGCCCACAGGAGGCGCCUUCUCUCCUCAGAACCCUGCUGGGCGUCAGAAGAACCAGCAAAGGGAUGGGACGUUUUCUCUCCCCAGUGGUGAUGAGCAUUCCUGCAGAAAUAGUGUGAGCACGAGGCUUCAGAGCUGUAAUCAGGCACUCCACGCUCAGGGUACACGCUCUCUCUCUCGCCAGUGCCCGCGCCUGCACCCGGGGAGGCUGGUCCUUGAUCUGUUGACUAAAUGAAGUGCAUUUCCAUCGCAGCUCCCGCCAACCGCAUGCAGGCCUCUGUCUUCCUGGUCCGGAUCCACAAUGGUGUUGCUGUAAAAACUCUUAAAUAUUGUAACCUGCUUUACUUUA